RNAcentral lists this ribosomal RNA (331 nucleotides) under uncultured bacterium. RNAcentral's name for it is "bacterial SSU rRNA". It matches the Rfam family "Bacterial small subunit ribosomal RNA", at positions 568 to 898 of the family's 1533-position model. The record is from RNAcentral.
CACGCAGGCGGUCUGUUAAGUUCAGGGUGACAGUCAUCAGCUUAACUGGUGAAGUGUCUUGAAAACUGACGGACUUGAGGGCCAGAGAGGGACCUGGAAUUCCGGGUGGAGCAGUGAAAUGCGUAGAUAUCCGGAGGAACACCAAAGGCGAAGGCAAGGUCCUGGCUGGCACCUGACGCUCAAGCGCGAAAGCUAGGGGAGCGAACGGGAUUAGAUACCCCGGUAGUCCUAGCCGUAAACGAUGACCACUAGGUGUGCGGGGUUCGACCCCCUGCGUGCCGCAGCUAACGCAAUAAGUGGUCCGCCUGGGGAGUACGGUCGCAAGACUAAA